This 249-nucleotide small nuclear RNA is filed under the name Mus pahari (shrew mouse). Its description in RNAcentral is "sRNA (MGP_PahariEiJ_G0008031.1)". It matches the Rfam family "7SK RNA". From Rfam's summary of the family: 7SK was discovered as an abundant small nuclear RNA in the mid-70s but a possible function has only recently been suggested. The record is from RNAcentral. Lineage: Eukaryota; Metazoa; Chordata; Mammalia; Rodentia; Muridae.
AUGUGUGAGGGCAAUCUGGCUGCCAACCCCAUUCGUUGGCAGGGCUGAUUCAGCUGAUCUGGCUGGCUCGGCGGGUAUCCCUCUUCCCUUACCACUAUCUUAUCCUCCCAGAAUGCCGGGCUGCAUCGGAGACAGCCACCUUCCCCGAACAGGAAAGGACCAGUCUUCCCAGUAUCUGUGCUUCCUGUAGAACCUGUAAAGUCUCAUAAAAUAAACACCGGCUGAGCAUGGUGGCACAUGCCUUUGGUU